Molecule: ribosomal RNA, 3633 nt
Filed under: Drosophila melanogaster (fruit fly)
Lineage: Eukaryota; Metazoa; Arthropoda; Insecta; Diptera; Drosophilidae
Description: eukaryotic LSU rRNA
Rfam family: Eukaryotic large subunit ribosomal RNA (bases 573-3633)
Source: RNAcentral
ACUCUAAGCGGUGGAUCACUCGGCUCAUGGGUCGAUGAAGAACGCAGCAAACUGUGCGUCAUCGUGUGAACUGCAGGACACAUGAACAUCGACAUUUUGAACGCAUAUCGCAGUCCAUGCUGUUAUGUACUUUAAUUAAUUUUAUAGUGCUGCUUGGACUACAUAUGGUUGAGGGUUGUAAGACUAUGCUAAUUAAGUUGCUUAUAAAUUUUUAUAAGCAUAUGGUAUAUUAUUGGAUAAAUAUAAUAAUUUUUAUUCAUAAUAUUAAAAAAUAAAUGAAAAACAUUAUCUCACAUUUGAAUGUGAAAAACGAAGAGAAAUAUUUUCUUUUUCAAUCAAAUAAUACUGAGAAAUGUCUAGCAUAAAAAAUUGAAAUAUUUUUCAUCUAGAAUUGUCUCUUAUUAAUGAUUCGGAAAUAGAAAAAUCUUGGUUAUGUUAUUAUUCUUCGUUGGUUCGUUAAAAAUGGAUAAAUAAAAACUUUGCAUACAAGAAUUAAUAAAAAUGUUAUAACGAAUUUAAUUAAAUGUUUUAUCAUUAUAUAUAAAGAAUUUAUGGCAAGAUAAAGUUAUAUACAACCUCAACUCAUAUGGGACUACCCCCUGAAUUUAAGCAUAUUAAUUAGGGGAGGAAAAGAAACUAACAAGGAUUUUCUUAGUAGCGGCGAGCGAAAAGAAAACAGUUCAGCACUAAGUCACUUUGUCUAUAUGGCAAAUGUGAGAUGCAGUGUAUGGAGCGUCAAUAUUCUAGUAUGAGAAAUUAACGAUUUAAGUCCUUCUUAAAUGAGGCCAUUUACCCAUAGAGGGUGCCAGGCCCGUAUAACGUUAAUGAUUACUAGAUGAUGUUUCCAAAGAGUCGUGUUGCUUGAUAGUGCAGCACUAAGUGGGUGGUAAACUCCAUCUAAAACUAAAUAUAACCAUGAGACCGAUAGUAAACAAGUACCGUGAGGGAAAGUUGAAAAGAACUCUGAAUAGAGAGUUAAACAGUACGUGAAACUGCUUAGAGGUUAAGCCCGAUGAACCUGAAUAUCCGUUAUGGAAAAUUCAUCAUUAAAAUUGUAAUAUUUAAAUAAUAUUAUGAGAAUAGUGUGCAUUUUUUCCAUAUAAGGACAUUGUAAUCUAUUAGCAUAUACCAAAUUUAUCAUAAAAUAUAACUUAUAGUUUAUUCCAAUUAAAUUGCUUGCAUUUUAACACAGAAUAAAUGUUAUUAAUUUGAUAAAGUGCUGAUAGAUUUAUAUGAUUACAGUGCGUUAAUUUUUCGGAAUUAUAUAAUGGCAUAAUUAUCAUUGAUUUUUGUGUUUAUUAUAUGCACUUGUAUGAUUAACAAUGCGAAAGAUUCAGGAUACCUUCGGGACCCGUCUUGAAACACGGACCAAGGAGUCUAACAUAUGUGCAAGUUAUUGGGAUAUAAACCUAAUAGCGUAAUUAACUUGACUAAUAAUGGGAUUAGUUUUUUAGCUAUUUAUAGCUAAUUAACACAAUCCCGGGGCGUUCUAUAUAGUUAUGUAUAAUGUAUAUUUAUAUUAUUUAUGCCUCUAACUGGAACGUACCUUGAGCAUAUAUGCUGUGACCCGAAAGAUGGUGAACUAUACUUGAUCAGGUUGAAGUCAGGGGAAACCCUGAUGGAAGACCGAAACAGUUCUGACGUGCAAAUCGAUUGUCAGAAUUGAGUAUAGGGGCGAAAGACCAAUCGAACCAUCUAGUAGCUGGUUCCUUCCGAAGUUUCCCUCAGGAUAGCUGGUGCAUUUUAAUAUUAUAUAAAAUAAUCUUAUCUGGUAAAGCGAAUGAUUAGAGGCCUUAGGGUCGAAACGAUCUUAACCUAUUCUCAAACUUUAAAUGGGUAAGAACCUUAACUUUCUUGAUAUGAAGUUCAAGGUUAUGAUAUAAUGUGCCCAGUGGGCCACUUUUGGUAAGCAGAACUGGCGCUGUGGGAUGAACCAAACGUAAUGUUACGGUGCCCAAAUUAACAACUCAUGCAGAUACCAUGAAAGGCGUUGGUUGCUUAAAACAGCAGGACGGUGAUCAUGGAAGUCGAAAUCCGCUAAGGAGUGUGUAACAACUCACCUGCCGAAGCAACUAGCCCUUAAAAUGGAUGGCGCUUAAGUUGUAUACCUAUACAUUACCGCUAAAGUAGAUGAUUUAUAUUACUUGUGAUAUAAAUUUUGAAACUUUAGUGAGUAGGAAGGUACAAUGGUAUGCGUAGAAGUGUUUGGCGUAAGCCUGCAUGGAGCUGCCAUUGGUACAGAUCUUGGUGGUAGUAGCAAAUAAUCGAAUGAGACCUUGGAGGACUGAAGUGGAGAAGGGUUUCGUGUGAACAGUGGUUGAUCACGAGUUAGUCGGUCCUAAGUUCAAGGCGAAAGCCGAAAAUUUUCAAGUAAAACAAAAAUGCCUAACUAUAUAAACAAAGCGAAUUAUAAUACACUUGAAUAAUUUUGAACGAAAGGGAAUACGGUUCCAAUUCCGUAACCUGUUGAGUAUCCGUUUGUUAUUAAAUAUGGGCCUCGUGCUCAUCCUGGCAACAGGAACGACCAUAAAGAAGCCGUCGAGAGAUAUCGGAAGAGUUUUCUUUUCUGUUUUAUAGCCGUACUACCAUGGAAGUCUUUCGCAGAGAGAUAUGGUAGAUGGGCUAGAAGAGCAUGACAUAUACUGUUGUGUCGAUAUUUUCUCCUCGGACCUUGAAAAUUUAUGGUGGGGACACGCAAACUUCUCAACAGGCCGUACCAAUAUCCGCAGCUGGUCUCCAAGGUGAAGAGUCUCUAGUCGAUAGAAUAAUGUAGGUAAGGGAAGUCGGCAAAUUAGAUCCGUAACUUCGGGAUAAGGAUUGGCUCUGAAGAUUGAGAUAGUCGGGCUUGAUUGGGAAACAAUAACAUGGUUUAUGUGCUCGUUCUGGGUAAAUAGAGUUUCUAGCAUUUAUGUUAGUUACUUGUUCCCCGGAUAGUUUAGUUACGUAGCCAAUUGUGGAACUUUCUUGCUAAAAUUUUUAAGAAUACUAUUUGGGUUAAACCAAUUAGUUCUUAUUAAUUAUAACGAUUAUCAAUUAACAAUCAAUUCAGAACUGGCACGGACUUGGGGAAUCCGACUGUCUAAUUAAAACAAAGCAUUGUGAUGGCCCUAGCGGGUGUUGACACAAUGUGAUUUCUGCCCAGUGCUCUGAAUGUCAAAGUGAAGAAAUUCAAGUAAGCGCGGGUCAACGGCGGGAGUAACUAUGACUCUCUUAAGGUAGCCAAAUGCCUCGUCAUCUAAUUAGUGACGCGCAUGAAUGGAUUAACGAGAUUCCUACUGUCCCUAUCUACUAUCUAGCGAAACCACAGCCAAGGGAACGGGCUUGGAAUAAUUAGCGGGGAAAGAAGACCCUUUUGAGCUUGACUCUAAUCUGGCAGUGUAAGGAGACAUAAGAGGUGUAGAAUAAGUGGGAGAUAUUAGACCUCGGUUUGGUAUCGUCAAUGAAAUACCACUACUCUUAUUGUUUCCUUACUUACUUGAUUAAAUGGAACGUGUAUCAUUUCCUAGCCAUUAUACGGAUAUAUUUAUUAUAUCUUAUGGUAUUGGGUUUUGAUGCAAGCUUCUUGAUCAAAGUAUCACGAGUUUGUUAUAUAAUCGCAAACAAAUUCUUUAAUAAAACGAUGCAUUUAUGUAU